AGAAUCAACGCUGGCGGCGUGCCUAACACAUGCAAGUCGAACGAGAAAGUGGAGCAAUCCAUGAGUAAAGUGGCGCACGGGUGAGUAACACGUGACUAACCUACCCUUGAGUGGGGGAUAACCUAGGGAAACCUGGGCUAAUACCGCAUAAUACCGAGAGGUCAAAGGAGCAAUUCGCUUAAGGAGGGGUCGCGGCCGAUUAGUUAGUUGGCGGGGUAAUGGCCCACCAAGACUGUGAUCGGUA
Molecule: ribosomal RNA, 244 nt
Filed under: uncultured bacterium
Lineage: Bacteria
Description: partial small subunit ribosomal RNA
Rfam family: Bacterial small subunit ribosomal RNA
Source: RNAcentral